GUGCCUGGCGGCAUCUGGCCCCCGGGCCUUGAGUUUGACACCUAAUGAUGUUUCACAGUGAUAUUGUUCACUUGUUAAAUUGUGACUUCAGUAUCAACUUGGAAAAAUACAACUCUUAAUUCAAAUAAAUCCUUCCUUGCUUG
Syngnathus acus (greater pipefish) is the source of this 143-nucleotide long non-coding RNA. RefSeq lists it as uncharacterized. The record is from RefSeq and is a predicted model, not a curated record. Lineage: Eukaryota; Metazoa; Chordata; Actinopteri; Syngnathiformes; Syngnathidae. The transcript has 2 exons.